Molecule: long non-coding RNA, 645 nt
Organism: Mus caroli (Ryukyu mouse)
Lineage: Eukaryota; Metazoa; Chordata; Mammalia; Rodentia; Muridae
Source: RefSeq, a predicted model, not a curated record
CAGACGCCGGGCGCCAGGACGCGCCGUCCCGGCCAGCCCUCGCGCGGAGCCUCCCUCCCAGAUUCCAAACGGAUGCGGGUUCCGGGGCUCACCCGGGAGGGCGCCUGGUCCCUCGAUGCUCUGUCCUUGCCUGCGUCUGGAAUUCGUCCUCUGCUUCCCGCUUUCAUCUGUCUCUGCCUCCCCAGUUGGAUGCUCUAUAUCAAAGCAAGCAAAAUGUUAAGGGCCUUUACUAGCCAGAUAGCUCUGCCGAUAAAGGCGCCUAUGGUGCAAGCUUGGCAACCUGAGUCCGACCCAGAAUGCAGGGGGACAGAUGCAGCUACUGGACGAUAGGAAUGAUUUACGUAAGGCCUGAGGAUAUGAAAGCUUCCAAAACAGUAAGGGUCUAAGAAAGUGUUUAAAGGUCUCGGAAGGUGUUCUGAGGUGUUCCCUCAGAAUCUGCAUCUGGGAAAGCUCCAAAACAGUUACCAACAGGAGCCCUGGCCCAGCCUUCAGAUUGCUUCAAGUGGGCCUACAUACUCCUAACUGCAGAGGGUCCCACAACCCAUACAGCAGUGGAACCACCAGCUCUUCCUGGUCUUGGCCAACAUUCCAGCCUUUUGGCCACACCCCAAAAACAAAACUGUGUCCCAAAGUCAGCAGGAGGAA